Molecule: transfer RNA, 90 nt
Filed under: Gammaproteobacteria bacterium
Lineage: Bacteria; Pseudomonadati; Pseudomonadota; Gammaproteobacteria
Description: tRNA-Ser
Rfam family: tRNA
About the family: Transfer RNA (tRNA) molecules are approximately 80 nucleotides in length. Their secondary structure includes four short double-helical elements and three loops (D, anti-codon, and T loops). Further hydrogen bonds mediate the characteristic L-shaped molecular structure. tRNAs have two regions of fundamental functional importance: the anti-codon, which is responsible for specific mRNA codon recognition, and the 3' end, to which the tRNAs corresponding amino acid is attached (by aminoacyl-tRNA synthetases). tRNAs cope with the degeneracy of the genetic code in two manners: having more than one tRNA (with a specific anti-codon) for a particular amino acid; and 'wobble' base-pairing, i.e. permitting non-standard base-pairing at the 3rd anti-codon position.
Source: RNAcentral
GGAGAGGUGCCGGAGCGGUUGAACGGGGCGGACUCGAAAUCCGCUGUGGCGCUUGCGCCACCCAGGGUUCGAAUCCCUGCCUCUCCGCCA